Long non-coding RNA from Temnothorax curvispinosus, 243 nucleotides. RefSeq lists it as uncharacterized. The record is from RefSeq and is a predicted model, not a curated record. NCBI's taxonomy places the organism in Eukaryota, Metazoa, Arthropoda, Insecta, Hymenoptera, Formicidae. The transcript has 3 exons.
GGAAGGGCGGGGGCCCCGGCCGCGAAGAAAGGCAGGAGCUAUAAAAGAGCCGACGGGCCCGACGAUGGGCAUCAAACACCUCCGACAUGAAGGUGUUCGUAGUCACGCUCGUGCUGGCGCUCGUCGCCACCGCAUACGGUGGUUAUAUAAGCAGCGGUGGCGGAUUCGGCAGCGGUGGAUAUGGCGGUGGCGGAUUCGGCGGCGGUAGCAGUGGAUGGAAGUUCGGGGGCGGAGGUGGAUACG